AACGAACGCUGGCGGCGCGUCUUAAGCAUGCAAGUCGAACGGCAAGAGAGGAGCUCGCUUCUCUCCUAGAGUGGCGGACUGGUGAGGAACACGUGGGUAAUCUACCCUUAAGAUGGGGAUAGCUGCUAGAAAUAGCAGGUAAUACCGAAUACACUCGGCAUAUCACAAGAGGUGUUGAGGAAAGGAAGCUACGGCUUCGCUUGAGGAUGAGCUUGCGUCCCAUUAGCUAGUUGGUGAGGUAAAGGCCCACCAAGGCGACGAUGGGUAUCCGGCCUGAGAGGGUGAACGGACACAUUGGGACUGAGAUACGGCCCAAACUCCUACGGGAGGCAGCAGCUAAGAAUAUUCCGCAAUGGACGGAAGUCUGACGGAGCGACGCCGCGUGGAUGAAGAAGGCUGAAAAGUUGUAAAAUCCUUUUGUUGAUGAAGAAUAAGGGUGAGAGGGAAUGCUUAUCUGAUGACGGUAAUCGACGAAUAAGCCCCGGCUAAUUACGUG
Molecule: ribosomal RNA, 496 nt
Filed under: uncultured bacterium
Lineage: Bacteria
Description: partial 16S ribosomal RNA
Rfam family: Bacterial small subunit ribosomal RNA
Source: RNAcentral